GUCUCAGUUCAGAUUGCAGGCUGCAACUCGCCUGCAUGAAGUCGGAAUUGCUAGUAAUCGUAGGUCAGCAUACUACGGUGAAUACGUUCCCGGGCCUUGUACACACCGCCCGUCAAACCAUGAGAGUUGGCAACACCCGAAGUCGGUAGUCUAACCGCAAGGAGGACGCCGCCGAAGGUGGGGUCGAUGAUUAGGGUUAAGUCGUAACAAGGUACC
Molecule: ribosomal RNA, 216 nt
Filed under: uncultured bacterium
Lineage: Bacteria
Description: partial 16S ribosomal RNA
Rfam family: Bacterial small subunit ribosomal RNA
Source: RNAcentral